UCUUCUUCUUCUUCUNCUUCUUCUUCUUCUUCCUCUUCUUCUUCUUCUUCUUGUUCUUCUUCUUCUUCUUCUUUUCUUCUCCUCUUCUACUUCUCAUCUUCUUCUAUUUUUCCUCUUCUUCACGUCUUCUCCUCUUUUUGUUCAUCUUUCUUCUUCUUCUUCUUUCUAAAUAUUACUAACCCUAAUAACCUAGGACUAAUAACCUAGUACUGUCUUAUUUUCUUCUUCUUCUUUCUAACCCUAAUAACCCGGCACUAAUAACCUUGCACUAACUUACUAACCCUAAUAACCUCGCACUAACUUACUAACCCUAAUAACCUAACACUAACUUAUUUCUUCUUCUU
This 344-nucleotide long non-coding RNA is filed under the name Hordeum vulgare. RNAcentral describes it as "long non-coding RNA (HVUL_LNC017881)". Lineage: Eukaryota; Viridiplantae; Streptophyta; Magnoliopsida; Poales; Poaceae. The record is from RNAcentral.